RNAcentral lists this ribosomal RNA (795 nucleotides) under uncultured bacterium. Its description in RNAcentral is "bacterial SSU rRNA". It matches the Rfam family "Bacterial small subunit ribosomal RNA", at positions 8 to 796 of the family's 1533-position model. The record is from RNAcentral.
AGAGUUUGAUCCUGGCUCAGAACGAACGCUGGCGGCGCGCUUAACACAUGCAAGUCGAACGAGAAGCUGUAGCAAUACAGUUGUAAAGUGGCAAACGGGUGAGUAAUGCGUGGGUAAUCUACCCUAGGGUGGGGAAUAACUCCUCGAAAGGGGAGCUAAUGCCGACAUGUGCGCCACUCUCGCAAGGGAGUGAUGGAAAGCCGUACCGUGGGUGCGGCGCCCAAGGAUGAGCUCACGUCCUAUCAGCUUGUUGGCGGGGUAACGGCCCACCAAGGCUGCGACGGGUAGCUGGUCUGAGAGGACGACCAGCCACACUGGCACUGCGACACGGGCCAGACUCCUACGGGAGGCAGCAGUGAGGAAUAUUGCGCAAUGGACGACAGUCUGACGCAGCGACGCCGCGUGGGGGAUGAAGGCCUUCGGGUUGUAAACCCCUUUCAGGAGGGAAGAUGGGACGGGUAACCGUUCGGACGGUACCUCCAGAAGCAGCCACGGCUAACUCUGUGCCAGCAGCCGCGGUAAGACAGAGGUGGCAAGCGUUGUUCGGAUUUACUGGGCGUAAAGAGUGCGUAGGUGGUGAGGUAAGAUCUGUGGGAAAGACCUGGGCUUAACCCAGGAAGGUCGCAGAUGACUGCCUCGCUUGAGGACGGGAGAGGAGAGCGGAAUUCCCGGUGUAGCGGUGAAAUGCGUAGAGAUCGGGAAGAAGGCCGGUGGCGAAGGCGGCUCUCCGGAACGUUCCUGACACUGAGGCACGAAAGCGUGGGGAGCAAACAGGAUUAGAUACCCUGGUAGUCC